AGAAAUUUAACCUAAAAAAGUCUUCUUUAAGAAGAAAAAAGAUGUGUGAGCCAAUAUGCAUUUCUUGUAUUCUGAUCUUAAAGUGUUUUCAUAUACCGCCAUCACAAAAUGUGGCCCAAAAUUUAUAACUCAAAAGAGUUGAUCAAUAAGAAUUUUUUUAUAUGCAUGUGGUAAAAUUUUAAGUAGCAAUAAUGGAGCUUACGAGCUUUUACCAACAUUUAAAUGAGGGGAACUUUUUGCAGUAUUCUGCAGUUCCGCAUGAGUUAUACACAGUAUUUAAUCUAUUGAAAUUUAAAAUAUGCUGUAAACAGCAGAUUGCUUUUCUAAAACUUCCAUAUAUUAUGUGAAAUGCAGUUUAAGAAGAAAGUCUGACCUCUGUAAGUUAAGUUCUUACAAAGGACAAUUAGCCAGAGUCAAUGAAGAGUCCCUAUGAAGAAUUGUUAAUCACUGGAUGAUCAUCUGACUAUUCCAAGACAAUUUUUGAUCUCAUUUUGAGGAGGACCAUCAUUAGUGCAAGUCUUUAGGAUCUCCUUUGUUGUUAAAAAAAAAAAUCUCUUGGGCCGGGGAUUUAGCUCAGUGGUUCUGCUGCCUUCCUCUCAAGCACAAGGUCCCGAAUUCGAUUCCCAGUACCCCCAAAAAAGAUCUGCUAAAGUACGUAAAUUUAAAGUAGGUUAAAUUAAAAUUUUAGGCAGGUUCAUUUAUGUUAUGUAUUAGGCCAUUUUCUUUCCUUUCACUUCUAAAUAUUUCACUUUCUGAAUACUGAAGCCCUUCUGGCUCAGAGUGAAAUAACUUAAUUAUCAGCAAUAGAUUGAUUCCAAGUGGAGAACUUAUUGUUUCCUUAAAAUGGCUCUUUCUCAUCUGUGAUGGUGAAUAUUUAUAAGUAUCCAGGUAGAGCGAUAUUGGUUCCUGAAAUGCCACAAAAUCCUUUAAGUAGUCAUGUUUAUAAUUUAGUGGCUAAAGCAUUCUUGAACUGUUUGUGGGGAGACAGCAAGAAUCACUCAGCAUAAUGUUUUGAUGACCAAAAAGGCUCACACCUGGGAGAUUAACUUGUCUUUAAUGCAAAAAUACUCUGCCACAUAUUCCUUAUUGAUUUCUUAGAAGUAUGACAUGUUUUCCAGAACCAUACUGAAUUUUCCUGAUUUCUGAUGGAGAAUUUGACAUACCAAGCAGUCUAUUCUUUCAUCCCAUUAUUUUAAAUAUAUUCAGCUUCUGUACAGCUUGUCUCUGCUUGAGAAAGCUUACCCUGUGAUACACGUAUGUACUUUGGAAGAAAAGAGCAGUCCAUGUGUUAAACAAAAUAAUUGUAUGUGAAGUAAACAAAGCCAGCAAUUUAAAAAAUUUCAGUGCCUAAUAAAGAUAAUUAUAGCUACAUUUGUUUGACUUAAGUCCCAUGCACUAUGCUAAGUUCUUUACAUAUUAUUUGAUUCCAAAGCAGCCCUAGGAUUUGGGUACCGUUAUUUCCAUUUGAUAGGUGAAAAACCUAAGACACAAACAGGAAAGUAGACCUGUCAAGGUGUAUAGCUGAUAAAAAGCUCAGGUCUAAAAUCUUAGUCUUUCUCAUUCACUCUUAUGUUCCAUUUAUUAUUUUCUUUAUGUAACAUUAAAUAGGUUCUUUACUUUGUUUUAUGUAUUCAAUGUGUGGCC
RNAcentral lists this long non-coding RNA (1644 nucleotides) under Heterocephalus glaber (naked mole-rat). RNAcentral's name for it is "lncRNA (ENSHGLG00000049757.1)". The record is from RNAcentral. Lineage: Eukaryota; Metazoa; Chordata; Mammalia; Rodentia; Bathyergidae.